Gordionus sp. m RMFG-2023 is the source of this 394-nucleotide long non-coding RNA. RefSeq lists it as uncharacterized. The transcript is spliced from 3 exons. NCBI's taxonomy places the organism in Eukaryota, Metazoa, Nematomorpha, Gordioida, Chordodea, Parachordodidae. The record is from RefSeq and is a predicted model, not a curated record.
ACUUGUUCCAAUAGUUUAUCUUGAAGAAUUGCUUGAGCCAUUUAAGUUAACUGACUACCCCUGGGGCUAUAUGGCAAGGGGUAAAAAGACAAUGUGGAAUAAGAAUCUUCCAUGGAAAAGAUCCUAUAAAAUUUUAAGCAGGCCUGUGGAAUCUACAACACAACUUUCCAUCUUACCAGGGUCGUGGUAAAUAGCAAAAAACACGUCUCUUCUUAGUCCUAAAUAGUGUACAAUGAAAGGCAAAAUAUUCAGAUUGCGAAGCGAGAAGGAAUAUGGAACAUCAUUUUGUGAUUUGAGUUUUUCAGGAGGAUUUAUUAAGGCCAGAAAGAUGGAAUGAUGGUAUAAUGGCUGUUUUUAGAUAUUAGGUUAUGCGACGUAAAAUUGGUUAUUCGAA